CCUACGGGUGGCAGCAGUCGAGAAUCUUUCACAAUGGGGGAAACCCUGAUGCUGCAACGCCGCGUGGGGGAAUGAAGUUUUAGGAUUGUAAACUCCUUUUGAUAGGGGAGAUUAUGAUAAUAUCUAACGAAUAAGCACCAGCUAACUCCGUGCCAGCAGCCGCGGUAAUACGGAGGGUCCGGGCGUUAUCCGGAUUUAGUGGGUUUAAAGGGAGCGCAGGCGGCCGCUUAAGCGUGGUGUGAAAGGCCGGGGCUCAACCGGGGCACUGCAGCGGGAACUGGGGGGCUUGAGUGCGGGGGAGGUAGGCGGAAUUCGUGGUGUAGCAGUGAAAUGCUUAGAUAUCGAGAAGAACACUGGUGGCGAAGGCAGGUUACUGUAGCGUUACUGACGCUGAGGCUCGAAGGUGAGGGGAGCGAAAAGGAUUAGAUACCCCAGUAGUC
This 440-nucleotide ribosomal RNA is filed under the name uncultured bacterium. Its description in RNAcentral is "partial 16S ribosomal RNA". It matches the Rfam family "Bacterial small subunit ribosomal RNA", at positions 338 to 795 of the family's 1533-position model. The record is from RNAcentral.